AUUUUGGUUCCUUCCUGGCCCAGAGCGAGCCACCGGUGGUCCACAGCUCCUCCAGCGCGGGACUGUCCCUGGCAUUUGCGGUCAACAGUCUUCCCAGGAGCUGUUAAAGCCUGGCACUUAUAUAAGAUGGAACCUGGUACUAUCCACACUGCUCCAGGGUCUCCCCAGCAAAGGGCAGGGACCUUGUCACCGUGGUGUAUAGGACCACCCCCAGGCUCCAAACAUCAGCUUUGAAUCCAUCGUGUUCUUCCUCCAGGAACACUUCUGGGUCACAGUAUUCAGGAGUCUCACAAAACACACUAAGCUGUUGUCACUCAGUGACCCUGCAGCUCAGCCCAAAGUCAGGCCAAACUUAAUGUACAACGUAUCCUCAGCAGCUUUUCCAGAUUCAAGUCUCUAUGUCCAUUGCCGUUCUUGUGCCACUGUGCGCAGUUGACGACGUCUGGCUGAACGUCAGACAUGCCGCCCGCUCCCGCCGGCUGCCAGGCCAGGGAGCACAGCCGCUCGUCCUGCUGGCCUAUUGAGCAGGUGCGCUGUCUGCCGUGUGCUGCGCCGCUAGGGGCCCCAUGAUGUCGGGUGAUGCAUGCCCUUCAUGAUAACCACUUCUCCCUGCAGUGCCCCCAAGCCGGAGAGAGCCCUUGCCUCCUGACGUCCCGGGAUCGUCUCUACUGCCACAUUCUUUCCCGUUCCCAGGUGCUGGGCUGCCUUGCCCCAGCAGAAGCUACCUUGGCCAAUGGUCCUAAGGCCCCUGUAAAGAUCAUGGAGAACCUCUCCCUUACAAACAAGGCCCUCCAUCCUGGUUCCCGUCCAACUAGGAACACUACUAAUGGCAGCUGAUGAACUACAUUAUUAUAUCUAAUGAAACAAAUGAAUAUCAGCAAUGCUAACUCUAACUAAUACUAACUAUAUUCACUACACAGCAAUACUAAGUGGUAAGACUAAGUGCUAACUAAAAUUUUAAAAAUGAACAAACUGCCAAGAAACAUAAAUCUCCCUAUAUUAACUACACUAACAGUGCUGUCUAAAGAUUAACAAUGGGGCCGGCGCUGCGGCUCACUAGGCUAAUCCUCCGCCUUGUGGCGCCGGCACACCGGGUUCUAGUCCCGGUUGCCCCUCUUCCAGGCCAGCUCUCUGCUGUGGCCCAGGAGUGCAGCAGAGGAUGGCCCAAGUCCUUGGGCCCUGCACCCCCAUGGGAGACCAGGAUAAGCACCUGGCUCCUGCCUUCAGAUCAGUGCAGUGCACCGGCCGCAGUGCGUUGGCUGGAGUGCGCCGGCCACGGCGGCCAUUGGAGGGUGAACCAACGGCAAAGGAAGACCUUUCUCUCUGUCUCUCUCUCUCUCACUGUCCACUCUGUCUGUCAAAAACAAAACAAAACAAAAAAAAGAUUAACAAUGGGGCAAAAAUGAACUGAAAAAAAUACAGAGGGAACAAAAUCUAAAAUUAAAAAAAUAGGGAAAAGAGCAAGUAAAAUAGACCAACAAGCAAGGGGGGAAAUACUAGCUCAGUCUAAGUUCAACAGGUUACCAAAAACAGCCUCCCGAGUAACACAUAACAUCCUAGACCAAGCAAGGGACUUACAUAGGCAUCUGGAAUUACAAAAUGAGAUCUCCAGAUGAAGUUUGAGCAAGAAAUGAACUCAUGACAGCCAAGCCAAAAUUAUAGGCAUUUGUAAUUUUGUAACAGUGGCUUCUUGUGAAAUAGCAGGACAUGGACUGAGUUCAGCCCAGCCAGAAACUCAUAUGCAUUUGCAUUUUUUUUAAUUGAGCAAGAAAGGAGCCAAUCACAGCUGCAAAUAAUCCACAGGAAUUUUUUCUCGAGAAUCUUUCCACUUGAAUGAAAAGGCCUCCAAAAGCUCCUUGUUAAGGUUGAUGAUAGGGAAUGUUUCCUUUUGGGUAAAGCUAAAAACACACUUGAUGUUUUCCAUAGCCUUUUUAUUUCUAGUUUAAAAAUAAGUUUUGGCUUUUGAAGAUCUCCUUAUGUCUACUCCGUCCAAUUCAACAAGUAAAUCAAGCUUGCUUGUGAAUACAAGAAACUGGCGUUGAGGGAGCCGAACUAGAGUAUCUGUCCAACUCAACAAGUAAAUGGUGCUUGCUUGUGAAUACAAGAAACGCGUUGAGAGAGCCGACUGAAGUUGCAAAGUAAUUUGGCCCUCCCAAGUCAGUAUGACCUCAGAGGAUUAAAUUUACUGAAACAGAAUCUAACGGGGUACAAAUAACUGAUGGAACAGGAAGCAUGGGCUCUACGCUGAGUGAGGUUCGUCCUGGUCAAUGAAACGCUGGGCUCUCAACACAAUACUUCGCCUCUUUCAGACUCCAGUCAAAUAACAGUUUGUAGCUGGUUCGUUGUGCCCACCAAGUAAGUUUUUCAAGAAACUUGUCUGAGAUUGAUAAAAUACCUGGUUAUCAGACCUGCAACUAGUUUUAGCACCUGAUCUUCUACUCCUGACUUGCCAUUACCCAUGUGCUCAGCGCUCAUGUCCCUUUGGCACUGCUCAAAAGCUGCCCUCACUAUGCAGGACUAUAGUACUCCAGACCCUCAGUCUGCUGUCGCACUAACUCACUAGUGGAUCAAAUCUUGUCUUCAAACCUUGACCUUGAUAUUCUGGUUCGGCACCAUGGACAAAGACUGGACUUUCAGUAACAAGUGUGGCGUUCGGCCAGCCAGGAGUUGGCUAUCACACCUGGUGGUGUGCAGACCACUAGUGACUUCCAAUGGAUGGUGCGAUUGACUGUAACAGCAUACCAGGGCUAACCUGUUCAUGCUGCCUAAGUGGUGAGGGGAUGACCAAGUCUCCAUCUGCAGGAUUUCUGCCUUCUAGUGGGGAGAAUGAGGAUAGUCCCAGCAGCAGACUGAGUCAUUUUGUCUCUGUGGAGCUGCCUUCUCUUCCUGGUAUCAGUAAACAUAAGGACAUGGUAUCCACAGUAUCUACACUGCUAAGCUUUUUGACAAAAAGGAAACAGUUUGUGCAAAAGGCAAUGACAACAAGGCCAUCUGGAAUUUUUUUGAGAAUCAAGGUUUCAAAUUAAGUCCUUUGACCAUGGGAUUUCCAACUGGGCCUCUGGGAAUUCUACAGAACUUGUCAUCCGCGGUUCUGGUUUUUUCCCUGGAAACACAAUCAAGGAAGCCUCUAACAGAUAUUUGGGAACACUGGUUCCUGACAAAGGGUCGAUGGACUAACUAAAAUUUUCAAGAACUCUGAGAAGGAACCCAAGCAAUUCAUGAAACUUCUAAUGAAGAUCAAACAAGUGUUGACAUCCCAUUUGGACACAAGUUUGUGCCUUGGCUGCUCCACUUCUGAUUCAGCUCCCUGCUACUGCGCCUGAGAAAGAAGAAGAUGGUCCAAUAUUUGGGCCCCUGGCAGCCCCUGGAAGACCAGAUUUGGAGUUCUUGGCUCCUGGUUUCCAAGUGGCCCAUUCUGGGCUGAAUCAACAGACUCUCUCUCUCUCUCUCUGUCUCUUCUCUCUAACUCAUAUCAUUGUAAAAAUUUAAGAAACAAUGAGGAAGGAGGAGGAAGGGUAAGGUGGGAAAUGUCAUGUUUUCUAGACUGUGUAUAUGAAAUUUGUUCCCUUUCAAUAAAUAAGAAAAAAAGACAUUCCCCUGCAUAACUUUUAACACAACCUUAAAUAUAGAAGUUUCAGAACACUAACAUUACUACCAUCCAAUUAACCUCACUUAUUUCAUCAAUUGGACCAAUACUCUCCCAAUAAUAAAAUAGUUCAUGUCUAUA
Oryctolagus cuniculus (rabbit) is the source of this 3727-nucleotide long non-coding RNA. RefSeq lists it as uncharacterized. Lineage: Eukaryota; Metazoa; Chordata; Mammalia; Lagomorpha; Leporidae. The record is from RefSeq and is a predicted model, not a curated record.